This 319-nucleotide ribosomal RNA is filed under the name uncultured eukaryote. Its description in RNAcentral is "partial 18S ribosomal RNA". It matches the Rfam family "Eukaryotic small subunit ribosomal RNA", at positions 1470 to 1796 of the family's 1831-position model. The record is from RNAcentral.
CCCUUAGAUGUCCUGGGCCGCACGCGUGCUACACUGACGCCUACAGCGAGUACUUCCCAGCCCCGAGAGGUGGCUGGUAAUCAGCAAUAGGCGUCGUGAUGGGGAUAGAUCUUUGGAAUUAUGGAUCUUGAACGAGGAAUGCCUAGUAAGCGCAGGUCAUUAGCCUGCGCUGAUUAAGUCCCUGCCCUUUGUACACACCGCCCGUCGCUCCUACCGAUCUCGAGUGGUCCGGUGAAUCUUUCGGACUGCGCGCGGCCUCGUGCCGUGUCGCGGAAAGUCAGGUAAACCUUAUCACUUAGAGGAAGGAGAANUCGUANCA